Molecule: ribosomal RNA, 494 nt
Filed under: uncultured bacterium
Lineage: Bacteria
Description: partial 16S ribosomal RNA
Rfam family: Bacterial small subunit ribosomal RNA
Source: RNAcentral
GACGAACGCUGGCGGCGUGCUUAACACAUGCAAGUCGAACGGUGAAGCGCCUUCCUUUUUGGUGGGUGUGGAUGAGUGGCGAACGGGUGAGUAACACGUGAGUAACCUGCCCCCUUCUUCUGGAUAACCGCAUGAAAGUGUGGCUAAUACGGGCUAUUCUGGGUCUGUCGCAUGAUGGGUCUGGGAAAGAUAUUGUUUCGGUGGGGGAUGGGCUCGCGGCCUAUCAGCUUGUUGGUGGGGUGAUGGCCUACCAAGGCGGUGACGGGUAGCCGGCCUGAGAGGGUGGAGGGUCACACUGGGGCUGUGACACGGCCAAGACUCGUACGGGAGGCAGCAGUGGGGAAUAUUGCACAAUGGGCGCAAGCCUGAUGCAGCGACGCCGCGUGAGGGAUGGAGGCCUUCGGGUUGUGAACCUCUUUCGCCAGUGAAGCAGGCCUGCCUCGUUUGUGGGUGGGUUGACGGUAGCUGGAUAAGAAGCGCCGGCUAACUACGUG